ACGGCUCAGUAACACGUAUUCAACAUGCCCAGGGGACGUGGAUAACCUCGGGAAACUGAGAUUAAUGCGCGAUAGGUCAUGAUUUCUGGAAUGGAUCCUGGCUUAAAUCUACUUGGCCCCUGCAUUGGACUGCCGCCGAUCAGGCUGUUGGUGACGUAAUGGCCCACCAGACCUAUAACCGGUACGGGCUCUGAUAGGAGAAACCCGGAGAUGGGCACUGAGGCCAGGACCCAGGCCCUAUGGGGCGGAGCAGGCGCGAAAACUCCACAAUGGGCGAAAGCCCGACACGGUUACUCUGAGUGAUUUCCGCUAAAGACAUCUGUUGGCAGCUCUAAAAAUGGUGCAGAAUAAGGGGUGGGCAAGUCUGGUGUCGGCCGCCGCGGUAAUACCACCACCCCGAGUGGUCGGGACGAUUAUUGGGCCUAAAGCAUCCUUAUCCGGUUGUGCAAAUCCUCCGUUAAAUCCAGCCGCUCAACGGAUGGUCUGCGGAGGAUACUACUGAACUACGAAGCAGGAGAGGCAAGCGGUACUUAGUGGAUACGGGUAAAAUCCUUUGAUCCAUUGAAGACCACCAGUGGCGAAGGCGGCUUGCCAGAACGCGCUCCACGGUGAGGGAUGAAAGCUGGCGGAGCAAACCGAAUUAUAUACCCGGGUAGUCCCAGCUGUAAACGAUGCAGACCCGGUGAUGGGCUAGCCUCGUGUCAGACCAAUGCCGCAGGGAAGCAGGUAAGUCUGCAGCCUGGGGAGUACGGUCGCAAGACUGAAAACUUAAAGGAAUUGGCGGGGGAG
RNAcentral lists this ribosomal RNA (789 nucleotides) under uncultured archaeon. Its description in RNAcentral is "bacterial SSU rRNA". It matches the Rfam family "Archaeal small subunit ribosomal RNA", at positions 85 to 876 of the family's 1478-position model. The record is from RNAcentral.